This 759-nucleotide ribosomal RNA is filed under the name uncultured microorganism. RNAcentral describes it as "bacterial SSU rRNA". It matches the Rfam family "Bacterial small subunit ribosomal RNA", at positions 56 to 826 of the family's 1533-position model. The record is from RNAcentral.
UGCAAGUCGAACGGUGAAGCAGGAGCUUGCUCCUGCGGAUCAGUGGCGAACGGGUGAGUAACACGUGAGCAAUCUGCCCUGGACUCUGGGAUAAGCGUUGGAAACGACGUCUAAUACCGGAUACGAGACGCGAAGGCAUCUUCAGCGUCUGGAAAGAACUUCGGUCCAGGAUGAGCUCGCGGCCUAUCAGGUAGUUGGUGAGGUAAUGGCUCACCAAGCCUACGACGGGUAGCCGGCCUGAGAGGGUGACCGGCCACACUGGGACUGAGACACGGCCCAGACUCCUACGGGAGGCAGCAGUGGGGAAUAUUGCACAAUGGGCGCAAGCCUGAUGCAGCAACGCCGCGUGAGGGACGACGGCCUUCGGGUUGUAAACCUCUUUUAGCAGGGAAGAAGCGAAAGUGACGGUACCUGCAGAAAAAGCACCGGCUAACUACGUGCCAGCAGCCGCGGUAAUACGUAGGGUGCAAGCGUUAUCCGGAAUUAUUGGGCGCAAAGAGCUCGUAGGCGGUUUGUCGCGUCUGCUGUGAAAACCCGAGGCUCAACCUCGGGCCUGCAGUGGGUACGGGCAGACUAGAGUGCGGUAGGGGAGAUUGGAAUUCCUGGCGUAGCGGUGGAAUGCGCAGAUAUCAGGAGGAACACCGAUGGCGAAGGCAGAUCUCUGGGCCGUAACUGACGCUGAGGAGCGAAAGCAUGGGGAGCGAACAGGAUUAGAUACCCUGGUAGUCCAUGCCGUAAACGUUGGGAACUAGAUGUGGG